RNAcentral lists this ribosomal RNA (196 nucleotides) under uncultured bacterium. RNAcentral describes it as "partial 16S ribosomal RNA". It matches the Rfam family "Bacterial small subunit ribosomal RNA", at positions 335 to 527 of the family's 1533-position model. The record is from RNAcentral.
AGUCUACGGGAGGCAGCAGUGGGGGAUAUUGCACAAUGGGCGGAAGCCUGAUGCAGCGACGUCGCGUGAGGGAUGGAGGCCUUCGGGUUGUGAACCUCUUUCGCCGGUGAAGAAGGUCCUGCUUUUUGGGUGGGGUUGACGGUAGCCGGGUUAUGAAGCGCCGGCUAACUACGUGCCAGCAGCCGCGGUAAUGACU